RNAcentral lists this long non-coding RNA (320 nucleotides) under Brassica napus (rape). RNAcentral's name for it is "long non-coding RNA (BNAP_LNC012825)". Lineage: Eukaryota; Viridiplantae; Streptophyta; Magnoliopsida; Brassicales; Brassicaceae. The record is from RNAcentral.
AGUUAAAGGGUGGGGUUUAGGAUUUAGGAUUUAGGGUUUAGGGUUUAGGGUUUAGAGUUUAGGGUUUAGGGUUUAGAGUUUAGGGUCUAGGGUUUAGGGUUUAGGGUUUAGAGUUUAGGGUUUAGAGUUUAGGAUUUAGGGUUUAGGGUUUAGGGUUUAGGGUUUAGAGUUUAAGGUUUAGGGUUUAGAGUUGAGAAAUGAGGUUUUGCGGAUAAGAUUUCAAAUUUUGAAAAAUAAAAAAAUUAAAAUUUUCAAAGCAUAAACUUAGAAAAGUGCUAUUUUGGUCAUUUUAGUUUUGGAGUGCUAUUUUUGUGAUAUAA